AGACUUGCCUGGCAGGGGAGAAACAAUGAUCAUGAAGGUUGUGCUCCCAGGAUGAGGUUACCCCAUUGCACUCUGGGUGUGCUGAUGCCUGGGUUGUCGCCAAAUGCGGGAUACUCGCCUGCAAAAUUAUUGGUAUUGGAGUACUGCGUCCGUGCUUUCCCCUG
Carcharodon carcharias (great white shark) is the source of this 164-nucleotide small nuclear RNA. RefSeq annotates it as U1 spliceosomal RNA. The record is from RefSeq and is a predicted model, not a curated record. The transcript has a single exon. Lineage: Eukaryota; Metazoa; Chordata; Chondrichthyes; Lamniformes; Lamnidae.